UGGUGACUCAUAAUAACUGAUCGAAUCGCAAGGCCUAUGGCCGCGAUAAGUCAUUCAAGUUUCUGCCCCAUCAGCUUUCGAUGGUAGUGUAUUGGACUACCAUGGCGUUUACGGGUAACGGAGGAUUAGGGUUCGAUUCCGGAGAGGGAGCCUGAGAAACGGCUACCACAUCUAAGGAAGGCAGCAGGCGCGUAAAUUACCCAAUCCUGACUCAGGGAGGUAGUGACAAGAAAUAACGGGCCGGGAA
RNAcentral lists this ribosomal RNA (247 nucleotides) under uncultured Spirotrichea. Its description in RNAcentral is "partial small subunit ribosomal RNA". It matches the Rfam family "Eukaryotic small subunit ribosomal RNA", at positions 244 to 491 of the family's 1831-position model. Lineage: Eukaryota; Ciliophora; Spirotrichea. The record is from RNAcentral.